Molecule: ribosomal RNA, 427 nt
Filed under: uncultured bacterium
Lineage: Bacteria
Description: bacterial SSU rRNA
Rfam family: Bacterial small subunit ribosomal RNA
Source: RNAcentral
UGAGGAAUAUUGGACAAUGGGCGCAAGCCUGAUCCAGCAAUGCCGCGUGCAGGAUGAAGGCCUUCGGGUUGUAAACUGCUUUUGUACGGAACGAAAAGGCUCUGGUUAAUACCUGGGGCUCAUGACGGUACCGUAAGAAUAAGCACCGGCUAACUACGUGCCAGCAGCCGCGGUAAUACGUAGGGUGCAAGCGUUAAUCGGAAUUACUGGGCGUAAAGCGUGCGCAGGCGGUUAUGUAAGACAGAUGUGAAAUCCCCGGGCUCAACCUGGGACCUGCAUUUGUGACUGCAUAGCUGGAGUGCGGCAGAGGGGGAUGGAAUUCCGCGUGUAGCAGUGAAAUGCGUAGAUAUGCGGAGGAACACCGAUGGCGAAGGCAAUCCCCUGGGCCUGCACUGACGCUCAUGCACGAAAGCGUGGGGAGCAAACA